GAUGAACGCUGGCGGCGCGCCUAACACAUGCAAGUCGAACGAUUAAAGCACCUUCGGGUGUGUAUAAAGUGGCGAACGGCUGAGUAACACGUGGGCAACCUGCCCCUCUCAUUGGGAUAGCCACGGGAAACCGUGGAUAAUACCGAAUACUUCGAGACUUCCGCAUGGAAGACUCGAGAAAGCUCCGGCGGAGAGGGAUGGGCCCGCGGCCUGUUAGCUUGUUGGAGGGGUAACGGCCUACCAAGGCAAUGAUGGGUAGCUGGGUUGAGAGACCGACCAGCCAGAUUGGGACUGAGACACGGCCCAGACUCCUACGGGAGGCAGCAGUGGGGAAUCUUGCACAAUGGGCGAAAGCCUGAUGCAGCGACGCCGCGUGCGGGAUGAAGGCCUUCGGGUUGUAAACCGCUUUCAGCAGGGACGAGGCGAAAGUGACGGUACCUGCAGAAGAAGC
RNAcentral lists this ribosomal RNA (451 nucleotides) under Lancefieldella parvula. RNAcentral's name for it is "bacterial SSU rRNA". It matches the Rfam family "Bacterial small subunit ribosomal RNA", at positions 28 to 491 of the family's 1533-position model. The record is from RNAcentral. Lineage: Bacteria; Bacillati; Actinomycetota; Coriobacteriia; Coriobacteriales; Atopobiaceae.